GACGGGUGAGUAACACGUGGGUAACCUGCCCUCAUUUGGGGGAUAACAUUUGGAAACAGAUGCUAAUACCGCAUAGAUCCAAGAACCGCAUGGUUCUUGGCUGAAAGAUGGCGUAAGCUAUCGCUUUUGGAUGGACCCGCGGCGUAUUAGCUAGUUGGUGAGGUAACGGCUCACCAAGGCGAUGAUACGUAGCCGAACUGAGAGGUUGAUCGGCCACAUUGGGACUGAGACACGGCCCAAACUCCUACGGGAGGCAGCAGUAGGGAAUCUUCCACAAUGGACGCAAGUCUGAUGGAGCAACGCCGCGUGAGUGAAGAAGGCUUUCGGGUCGUAAAACUCUGUUGUUGGAGAAGAAUGGUCGGCAGAGUAACUGUUGUCGGCGUGACGGUAUCCAACCAGAAAGCCACGGCUAACUACGUGCCAGCAGCCGCGGUAAUACGUAGGUGGCAAGCGUUAUCCGGAUUUAUUGGGCGUAAAGCGAGCGCAGGCGGUUUUUUAAGUCUGAUGUGAAAGCCCUCGGCUUAACCGAGGAAGCGCAUCGGAAACUGGGAAACUUGAGUGCAGAAGAGGACAGUGGAACUCCAUGUGUAGCGGUGAAAUGCGUAGAUAUAUGGAAGAACACCAGUGGCGAAGGCGGCUGUCUGGUCUGUAACUGACGCUGAGGCUCGAAAGCAUGGGUAGCGAACAGGAUUAGAUACCCUGGUAG
This 706-nucleotide ribosomal RNA is filed under the name uncultured bacterium. RNAcentral describes it as "bacterial SSU rRNA". It matches the Rfam family "Bacterial small subunit ribosomal RNA", at positions 100 to 793 of the family's 1533-position model. The record is from RNAcentral.